This is a long non-coding RNA of Haliaeetus leucocephalus (bald eagle), 1101 nucleotides long. RefSeq lists it as uncharacterized. NCBI's taxonomy places the organism in Eukaryota, Metazoa, Chordata, Aves, Accipitriformes, Accipitridae. The record is from RefSeq and is a predicted model, not a curated record. The transcript has 3 exons.
CAGUGAGACUGCAAAUAUUAGAAGUAUUUAGUAUACUAAAUAGUCUGUUGGUUAGGGCUGACUCUCUGGAGAGAUGGAAGACUCAAAUACAGAUUCUCAGCCAGGAAGAACCUCUUAGAACUCAGAUGACAGUAAGACUAUUCUACAUCAGGUCGUAUCACUUAAAUAGGUUUCUGUACGAAUUCCAGAGGACUGUUGGAGACAACUGCCUAACUUGGGAAUCUUGUUUCACAGGCUUUAGGAUGCUGAGCAGCUUGUUGGUUACAGCACACACUUGAAGAUGACUCUGAGCAACAUGAUCUGACUUUGAAGAUGGUUCUAAAUUCAGAGUGUGGUCUAGAGGACCUCAGCACUCCUGUCCAGCCUGAAUCACUGUGUGCUUCUGGAACAUGCGCUUCAGUGAACUCUUCGUAACAGCUGGAUCAAACUGCAGAAGACUGAGCGCUCUCCAGAAACCAUUUGGAACCCAACCUACGGGACAAGUCUGAAUUUUUGGUGAAGAAAAAAGCAACCACUCAAGCCUUUCAGAAAAGGGAUGAAGUAAUGCUUGGUGAAAUGCAGCACCUUCUUUGCUAGUUAGAGAAUUAAGCGGUCCUCCAGCAGAAAAGCAAGACUAGGCCUUUCCCUAGAACUAGGCCUCCAGUAGAGCACCGAGAGGGAAAGAGAGCAACAUGUCAGUAAUAAGCAAGCUCUGUUCUCAGCUGCAUGAUGACAUAUGACCAGGCACCUCCCUGGGACAGAAUUCAAAAGGUCAGUUUUCCAGCACACUCCAAUCACCUCAGUUUUAGUUAUUUAAGGUGGAAAUUUCUAUGCAAGUUUAUAAAACCCAUCCAGCUACAUGUUACUUUAUUAAACCACAGUUGACCUGAGAUGCAAUUAGGAUUUGACAUUUUUCCAUACUUAGUUCACAAGUUUAUUAUGAAAAACACUGCAGCUCUGUCCUGCAGUAACAUUGUUUUACAGAAAAAAACAGUUCUGUUCAAAGUAAUUCACUAUCCUUGGACAAUUACAAGGGACAAUAUGGUAGGGCAAAGAGUGGAAAAGGGAACCGAGUGCAGACAAAAAAAAAAAAUCAAUACAAUUAAAUUAAACAGUAUUCCC